RNAcentral lists this long non-coding RNA (382 nucleotides) under Linum usitatissimum (flax). Its description in RNAcentral is "long non-coding RNA (LUSI_LNC008264)". Lineage: Eukaryota; Viridiplantae; Streptophyta; Magnoliopsida; Malpighiales; Linaceae. The record is from RNAcentral.
GGGGAGAAGAAGGGAGUGAGAGGAAAGGAGGAGCAGAUGGUGAAGACGCCGAGGAAGCAUCUCCAGUUGCAAAGAAGCCUCGAAUUACGCUUAACCAUCUUGUCACUGAGGAUGAUACUCAAGAAGAGGAGACUGCUUGAUGGAAGAUGAAAGGAGCGUGAAAUCAUCGGUGACAAACAUACCAUUCGAAACUCGAAUAACGUUUUAGCCAAAGGAACCUAUGCUAACUGCUUGUUUUUUUUGUACGCUGCUGGAAAUUAUGUACUUUACAACUGAUAACAACGUAUGACCAAUGUUCUCAAAGCUCAACAACCCAAGCUUUUGUAUCCAUCAAUAUACACAUUGAAAUGUCGUAUUAACAUUGAAGAUUACAAAAUGCCGG